RNAcentral lists this ribosomal RNA (326 nucleotides) under uncultured eukaryote. Its description in RNAcentral is "partial 18S ribosomal RNA". It matches the Rfam family "Eukaryotic small subunit ribosomal RNA", at positions 1470 to 1796 of the family's 1831-position model. The record is from RNAcentral.
CCCUUAGAUGUUCUGGGCCGCACGCGCGCUACACUGAUGUAUUCAACGAGUUUUGCCUUGACCGAGAGGUCCGGGUAAUCUUCGAAAGUGCAUCGUGAUGGGGCUAGAUUAUUGCAAUUAUUAAUCUUCAACGAGGAAUGCCUAGUAAGCGUGAUUCAUCAAAUCGCGUUGAUUACGUCCCUGCCCUUUGUACACACCGCCCGUCGCUCCUACCGAUUGAAUGUGUUGGUGAGGAGUUCGGAUUGGCGACUGGUGGUGGUUCUCCGCUGCCUAUUGCUGAGAAGUUCUCCAAACCGCCCCAUUUAGAGGAAGGAGAAGUCGUAACA